Molecule: transfer RNA, 72 nt
Filed under: Candidatus Bathyarchaeota archaeon
Lineage: Archaea; Thermoproteati; Candidatus Bathyarchaeota
Description: tRNA-Asn
Rfam family: tRNA
About the family: Transfer RNA (tRNA) molecules are approximately 80 nucleotides in length.
Source: RNAcentral
UCUCUGGUAGCUCAAUGGUAGAGUCGCUGGCUGUUAACCAGUUUGUUGGAGGUUCGAAUCCUCCCUGGGGAG